UACGGGGGGAGCAAGCGUUGUUCGGAUUUACUGGGCGUAAAGGGCGCGUAGGCGGCGCAACAAGUCACUUGUGAAAUCUCCGGGCUUAACCCGGAGCGGCCAAGUGAUACUGUCGUGCUAGAGUGCGGAAGGGGCUACUGGAAUUCUCGGUGUAGCGGUGAAAUGCGUAGAUAUCGAGAGGAACACCUGCGGCGAAGGCGGGUAGCCGGGCCGACACUGACGCUGAGGCGCGAAAGCCAGGGGAGCGAACGGG
Molecule: ribosomal RNA, 253 nt
Filed under: uncultured bacterium
Lineage: Bacteria
Description: partial 16S ribosomal RNA
Rfam family: Bacterial small subunit ribosomal RNA
Source: RNAcentral